GAUGAACGCUGGCGGCGUGCCUAAUACAUGCAAGUCGAACGAAGAUCUAGCUUGCUAGAUCUUAGUGGCGAACGGGUGAGUAAUACAUAAAUAAUCUGCCCAUAUGACUGGGAUAACUAUUGGAAACGAUAGCUAAUACCGGAUAGGUUGAUUGGAGGCAUCUCUGAUUAAUUAAAGCAGGAUUUCUACACAAAUGGAUGAGUUUAUGGCGCAUUAGUUAGUUGGUGGGGUAACGGCCUACCAAGACGAUGAUGCGUAGCCGACCUGAGAGGGUGACCGGCCACACUGGGACUGGGACACGGCCCAGACUCCUACGGGAGGCAGCAGUAGGGAAUUUUCGGCAAUGGGCGCAAGCCUGACCGAGCAAGGCCGCGUGAGUGAUUAAGGCCUUCGGGUUGUAAAGCUCUGUUGUAAGGGAAGAACAGUCAGGAUAGGAAAUGAUCUUGAACUGACGGUACCUUACCAGAAAGCCACGGCUAACUACGUGCCAGCCGCCGCGGUAA
RNAcentral lists this ribosomal RNA (503 nucleotides) under uncultured bacterium. Its description in RNAcentral is "partial 16S ribosomal RNA". It matches the Rfam family "Bacterial small subunit ribosomal RNA", at positions 28 to 523 of the family's 1533-position model. The record is from RNAcentral.